Molecule: ribosomal RNA, 370 nt
Filed under: uncultured alga
Lineage: Eukaryota
Description: partial 23S ribosomal RNA
Rfam family: Bacterial large subunit ribosomal RNA
Source: RNAcentral
GCUUGACUGUAGCUUGUAAUUGGGUUCGGGCUUUUUUUGCGCAGCCUAGGUGGGAGGCAACGAUGAUUUUUUUCCGGAAAAAUUUGAGCCGUUAGUGAGAGACCACUCUGAAAAGGCUAGAAUCCUAAUAAUGAUCCUUGAAUCAGGACAUUUGGACAGUUGCAGGUGGGCAGUUUUACUGGGGCGGUAUUCUCCUAAAAAGUAACGGAGGGGUGCAAAGGUUCCCUCAAGCUGGACGGAAAUCAGCUUAAGAGUGUAAAGGCAAAAGGGAGCUUGACUGCAAGACCUACAAGUCGAGCAGGGGCGAAAGCCGGCCUUAGUGAUCCGACGGUACCACGUGGAAGGGCCGUCGCUCAACGGAUAAAAGUUA